GGGGUUGUGGCUCAGUGGGAGAGUGCUCACUUAGCAUGCGUGAGGUGCUGGGUUUGAUCCUCAGAACCACA
This 71-nucleotide transfer RNA is filed under the name Marmota monax (woodchuck). Its description in RNAcentral is "tRNA.Ala". Lineage: Eukaryota; Metazoa; Chordata; Mammalia; Rodentia; Sciuridae. The record is from RNAcentral.